AUCACGACCCUAAGUGGAUUUUGGAUCGUGACAGAAGAACCCUAACUCCACCAACCCUAUAGAGACCUAAGAACUCCCAAGCGCCCACUACCCCUCAAAACCCUAGAGAGCCAUCAGCCAGGGACCCAUAGGAAAAACCCUUCAUCAUCACCAAGACAAGAGCAACUCCUCAUCGCCUACUUCAUCUCCAAGAUCCGUCAUCGCCCCCAACCUCCAUUAAUGAACCGGCCUGCUUCCAUCAACAAGAACACCAGCAGCCGUCGCCUCUCACUCUUCACCACUCACUUGAGACCACUUAUUUUUCAAUCUCAACAAUUUACUUUCUUGGCACAUUUGCAGAAGCUUUGUUCACAAAUAUACAUCCUAUUUACUACCAUGAAAGACCAGUGGCAAUAUCGUUAAAACUUCCAGUAAAACCAGCCAGAAACAACUUAUUUUCCAGUUUUCAUCACUACCGAGUUCCCAUUUAUCCAGCAAGGUUAUUGUCGUGGUCAAGUUUUCUGUUCCUAUAUCAGAUCUAAGCAAAAUGGAGUUCCAGUUAGUGCGGCUUUCUGUUCGAGUCUCGUCCACCAGAUCUGAAGAGAGGAGUCGAUAGUCAGUCGAGGUUCUACUCGUGGUUGCUAUUGCGGUUCGAGGUUAUUGUUGUUUUCCAAUCCGAACAAUCGAUAAUUAUAGCAAGAGGUUCUUUAUUAAACGAAGGUUGCUGUGUCAGAUGUGGAUCCAUGUACCAGAGCUCGAGCAUGACAGAUACCCCGGGACCAUCACAUUCAGGAGCUUGUUUUUUUACUUUCUUGUCUUGUCUAGUAGUUUUGAGUCUUUUAGGUGGUGUAAGAGUUUGUCGAGUCUUUUGUCAUUGUACUUCCCAUUUGUAUUUUAAAAAAAAAAUUGGUUAUAAAUGAAAAAUCCAAAAAGCUUUUUGUUUUUA
Molecule: long non-coding RNA, 925 nt
Organism: Nicotiana tabacum (common tobacco)
Lineage: Eukaryota; Viridiplantae; Streptophyta; Magnoliopsida; Solanales; Solanaceae
Source: RefSeq, a predicted model, not a curated record